RNAcentral lists this long non-coding RNA (426 nucleotides) under Bos taurus (domestic cattle). Its description in RNAcentral is "long non-coding RNA NONBTAT025622". Lineage: Eukaryota; Metazoa; Chordata; Mammalia; Artiodactyla; Bovidae. The record is from RNAcentral.
GCAGGGAGGUAUAGAAAAAAAAUUGAGAAUGGAAACCUUCUACAACUUAAAAUUCAAUAGAAGAAUGACAAUAUUAUGUACUUUGUAGCUAUAUAGGAAAUUGCUGGGUUUGAGGAAUUGAGUCCCUGAGACGGGUACCUGGGAGAUGAUGUGGAAUAUCCAAUUGCAGCAGUCCUAUUAUAUCCUGGAAUCAUUUCAUUGCACGACAUAGUAAUCUAUUUGCAUUUCUGUAAGGGAUCGUGAGAACUUAGGGUAUUGACUGGGUGCUUUUGAAUGAAAACUUAAUCUUUGUGCUUAUUUGUAUGGUUGGAUUACAGUAUAAGGAAAGGAAAAUGUCCCAGAAUCUUCUAAGAUGUACUUCAAAGCCAGAGGCUGCUCAUGAUUAAAAAUGCUCUUCUCAUCUUCUAGUUUAUUUUUAUGUAAGUA